This 468-nucleotide ribosomal RNA is filed under the name uncultured bacterium. RNAcentral describes it as "partial 16S ribosomal RNA". It matches the Rfam family "Bacterial small subunit ribosomal RNA", at positions 28 to 507 of the family's 1533-position model. The record is from RNAcentral.
GACGAACGCUGGCGGCGUGCUUAACACAUGCAAGUCGAACGGAAAGGCCCUGCUUUUGUGGGGUGCUCGAGUGGCGAACGGGUGAGUAACACGUGAGUAACCUGCCCUUGACUUUGGGAUAACUUCAGGAAACUGGGGCUAAUACCGGAUAGGAGCUCCUGCUGCAUGGUGGGGGUUGGAAAGUUUCGGCGGGUGGGGAUGGACUCGCGGCUUAUCAGCUUGUUGGUGGGGUAGUGGCUUACCAAGGCUUUGACGGGUAGCCGGCCUGAGAGGGUGACCGGCCACAUUGGGCCUGAGAUAGGGCCCAGAGUCCUACGGGAGGCAGCAGUGGGGAGUCUUGCACAAUGGGCGGGAGCCUGAUGCAGCAACGCCGCGUGUGGGAUGACGGCCUUCGGGUUGUAAACCGCUUUCGCCUGUGACGAAGCGUGAGUGACGGUAAUGGGUAAAGAAGCACCGGCUAACUACGUG